RNAcentral lists this ribosomal RNA (587 nucleotides) under uncultured bacterium. RNAcentral describes it as "partial 16S ribosomal RNA". It matches the Rfam family "Bacterial small subunit ribosomal RNA", at positions 355 to 1383 of the family's 1533-position model. The record is from RNAcentral.
UGGGGAAUUUUGGACAAUGGGCGCAAGCCUGAUCCAGCCAUGCCGCGUGCGGGAAGAAGGCCUUCGGGUUGUAAACCGCUUUUGUCAGGGAAGAAAUCUUCUGAGUUAAUACCUCGGGAGGAUGACGGUACCUGAAGAAUAAGCACCGGCUAACUACGUGCCAGCAGCCGCGGUAAUACGUAGGGUGCAAGCGUUAAUCGGAAUUACUGGGCGUAAAGCGUGCGCAGGCGGUUUUGUAAGACAGAGGUGAAAUCCCCGGGCUCAACCUGGGAACUGCCUUUGUGACUGCAAGGCUUGAGUGCGGCAGAGGGGGAUGGAAUUCCGCGUGUAGCAGUGAAAUGCGUAGAUAUGCGGAGGAACACCGAUGGCGAAGGCAAUCCCCUGGGCCUGCACUGACGCUCAUGCACGAAAGCGUGGGGAGCAAACAGGAUUAGAUACCCUGGUAGUCCACGCCCUAAACGAUGUCAACUGGUUGUUGGGAAGGUUCCUUCUCAGUAACGUAGCUAACGCGUGAAGUUGACCGCCUGGGGAGUACGGCCGCAAGGUUGAAACUUAAAUGAAUUGACGGGGUCAUAGCUGUUUUCCUG